Molecule: unclassified non-coding RNA, 284 nt
Filed under: plant metagenome
Description: partial contains small subunit ribosomal RNA, internal transcribed spacer 1, and 5.8S ribosomal RNA
Rfam family: Eukaryotic small subunit ribosomal RNA (bases 1-53)
Source: RNAcentral
GGAAGUAAAAGUCUAACAAGGUUUCCGUAGGUGAACCUGCGGAAGGAUCAUUAUUGUAUAACCGAGGUGCGAGGGCUGUCGCUGACCCGAAAGGUCGUGCACGCCCGAGUGCCCUCACACACAUCCAUCUCACCCCUAUGUGCACCACCGCGUGGGUCCCCCUUUGGCUUGUUCGGAGGGGGGCUUACGUUUUCACACAAACUUUGUAUGCAGUGUAGAAUGUAUUUUUUGUUUUUGCGAUCACGCUAUCAAUACAACUUUCAACAACGGAUCUCUUGGCUCUC